CACGCUGUAAACGAUGAAUACUAGGUGUGGGAGGACUGACCCCUUCCGUGCCGCAGUUAACACAAUAAGUAUUCCACCUGGGGAGUACGAUCGCAAGAUUGAAACUCAAAGGAAUUGACGGGGGCCCGCACAAGCAGUGGAUUAUGUGGUUUAAUUCGACGCAACGCGAAGAACCUUACCGGGAUUUGACAUCCUACUAACGAAGCAGAGAUGCAUUAGGUGCCCUUCGGGGAAAGUAGAGACAGGUGG
Molecule: ribosomal RNA, 249 nt
Filed under: uncultured Oscillospiraceae bacterium
Lineage: Bacteria; Bacillati; Bacillota; Clostridia; Eubacteriales; Oscillospiraceae
Description: partial 16S ribosomal RNA
Rfam family: Bacterial small subunit ribosomal RNA
Source: RNAcentral